AGAGAGAGAAAGACUUGCUAGACUGGAGCCAAGUGAGAAAAGCAGAGGCAGAGGACGGCAUGGGGGGAGCAGCCGGGAGACACAUGUGGAAAGAGGUGCAUACUGCACUGUAGUUGCUGGGAAGGGAUAUUAAGCAGAGGGGUGAUCUGUCUCAGACAAGUGAUGGUAUAAAAUCAUUUCUGGAGUAAGCAGUUUCUCCAGUUGAUAAUUGUUACUAAGGAAGAAAAAAGAGAUGGAGAGGCCAUGUACUUGCUCAAGAAUUUAACAAAGUAACAUAGUGGUAUUCCACAAGUUUGAACCGAAGACACCCUGAAUGGUGCCUGCACAGAAUUCUCUAUGAAAAAUAAGGAAGAUGGCCUGCUACCUGUUGCCUGUUUAAAUAUGUUUUCGAUAGACAACAAGGCACCAAGAACCCUGGGUAAAUAAUAGAUGUUAAAAAUAGCUACUACCUAACAAUGUUACUAGAAUAAUUAGAGUGUAGAAAACUCUCUCAUAUGAGAAGCCAACUAAA
Non-coding RNA from Heterocephalus glaber (naked mole-rat), 511 nucleotides. NCBI's taxonomy places the organism in Eukaryota, Metazoa, Chordata, Mammalia, Rodentia, Bathyergidae. The record is from RefSeq and is a predicted model, not a curated record.